ACAAAAGAAGGAAAAUUAAGAAAAUAAAAAAAAUCAUUCUAAUCAUUUUGUUUCAUCAGAACCACUAUUAACCCAUUUUUACACUCCAUCCUCAUUAACAUUUCUUCCCAUUUUGGUAAAAAAUUCAUCAUUGAUAGCCCAUGCAUACUUCUUGUCUUUGGAAGAAAAAAUCAUCAUUUGGCCCAACUUAACACUCCUAGUCAAGACAUCACUCGGCUCUCUCUGGGGGAAAAGGAGGAAAAAAAAACACACACAAAAAAGGCUCUACUGUUGGCUACAAAAAUCUCCUCUCUCGGCUCUCUCCCACAGGACAGAAGACAAGCCAUAACAAGAAAAAAAAAAGAAAAACUCCUCUCUCCAUUCGGCUCCCUCUCUUUUCCUAAUAUACACACACAGAAUCAAGCACAAGAAAGCAAGCAAUCGGACGCGAGGAGAUUGGAAUUUCAUCAACAAUUUUAACUAAGGUCAUAAGAGGUGUUUAUGGUUGAGAUCGAGGAAAAAGUGCAAUUCAACUUGCAAAUUUGGAGAUUAGUCACGAAUAAAAAUGGAGCAAUAAUGCUACAUUGCAAAGUGGAGGAUCGGCUAUUUGCUCAAAAGGAGUACAUACUUUAGCAGCCAACUUGAAAAAAAAAAGAGAAAAGAAAAGAAAAAGGGGGAAUGAAAAGCGAAAAAAAAAGAGAAAGAAUAAAGGAAAAAAAAAAGUAAAGACAAAAGACAAAAGAAAAGAAAGGGGGAAUGAAAGAAAAAAAAAGAAGAGAAUAAUAAAAAAGGAGGAAAAAAUGGAAAAAC
Molecule: non-coding RNA, 789 nt
Organism: Coffea arabica (coffee)
Lineage: Eukaryota; Viridiplantae; Streptophyta; Magnoliopsida; Gentianales; Rubiaceae
Source: RefSeq, a predicted model, not a curated record